RNAcentral lists this ribosomal RNA (387 nucleotides) under Architectonicidae sp. H31. RNAcentral's name for it is "partial 16S ribosomal RNA". Lineage: Eukaryota; Metazoa; Mollusca; Gastropoda; Architectonicidae. The record is from RNAcentral.
CGCUUAGUGACCUCACACUAAGUAAUUCCUGCUCGGUGUGAAUAUUAACAGCAGCGGUAUUUUGACCGUUCAAAGGUAGCAUAAUAAGCUUUUUAAUUGUAAGCCUGUCAACGGAGAAAAUGGACUUCAGUAGUUCAAAAGCUAUCUUUACCUAAAUUACCUGUAAAGUAAAAACCCUUUACUUUUUUAAAAAGACGAUAAGACCCUAGAAUUUUAUAAUUCUGCUUUAGAUGGGGAAUCUUUGGUAAAAAAAACCACCCUCAAAAUACUCUAGGGAUAACAGCCCCAUUUGAAAGUGACUUUCGAGAUUGGGACCUCGAUGUUGAAUUAAGGAAACAUUAUCCUCAGAAAGGAUUUUGUCAGGUCUGUUCGACCUAUAUUUACCUU